AGAAUACCUAUCAAAACGUUCCAAGAUAUCCUUCUAAGGCCAAACCAUCGAGUCCGUUGACAUUGUCUUGCCAUUGUCAGACAUUCUGGCAUUUGCGUCAGAAAUUUUUUGUUUGUUUGAGUUAAACAUAUCUGCUAUUAUCAUUUGCGGGGGGUAACCGACAGUGUAGCCAUAACGUUAUUGGAAAAUCGCGUUUUCUUUCACCUGCUAUGCAGUCUCGUUCGUCUAUCGAACUGGUAGGGGUGCUUGCCCCUGCAAAAGUUUAUGGAGUUCGCACUUAGAAAUGAUGGGGAACAUUGUGUUGAACAUUUGGAACAUUGUGGAACAUUGUGGAACUGGUAUGAACAAUGUGGAACAUUUGGACACACAUUUAUUUGGUAUUGUUUCAAUUUCUUUCUUGCAACAACAACAACAUCCCCAGGCCUGCAUCAAUUUUGUUGGCAUUGGCAACGAAUGGUGAACAAUCAAAAAUGGUGUCUUGAACCAAGCCAGAAAACUUAUGAAAUGGUGAGGCACGAGGUUAUCAUUAGAUAUGGACCAUACCAGUCUUGUCAUUUGGUAAAACACACCGAAGAUCGACUUGAUGGUCUCCAAUACAUUCUUAAAGAAGAUGGUCAUUCUGUAUCCGUUUUGAAUUCUGAAGAAUGGAAUGUUGUUGAACUUAUUGUACAUGAAGAAGUUGUUUUUAGAUGCCAGAUACAAGAGCUAGAUUUUGGUGGGGAUGGAAAGCUUGAUCCACUGUGCCUUCAAGCAUUGGCAGCAGUACAAAAAGCAUAUUGAAAUUCAUAUCUAAAGGCAUUUGGUUAUUGGAGUGCAAAGUUCCUAGAAAUGUGUCUUGUUCUUGUGGAGAGACCAAAGCAGACAUACAAAACACAUUAUGUAAAUAGUCUAUUUAAACAUAUAUGAAUCUUUUAACUCAAGUAUGAUUCAUGAAGGAAUUUCCUCGUUUGUUUUUAACCAAAAAAUCAUCUGUUACACUGUUUUCGAAACUUUAUAUCUACGCUGGUUUCGAAAAAUAAUCGAGCUGCUUUUGGGAUUAACAGGAAAUCGGUAGCGGUAGUUUAAGACUUUAAUUGGAAGUUUAGAAGUUUUUUUUAUUUUUUCAUGAGAUGAAAAUGGAAAUUUUGAUAUAGCAUUAUUCCAUUUCAUGGCUGUUACUGGCAUAAAAGAAUAGAAAAAUUAUAAACAGACUAUGUUAGAUUGAUAAAAUCUAAGGAAUGAAAUAUUGUUGAGUUGCAGCGAUAAUAACAAUAAUUGCAAUAAAAAAUAAGAACUUUUGGAAUGUCAGAAGUGUUCAAUGAAGAUCAAGUAAUUUCAAACGAGUUAAUUAUUUUUUUUGCUCUAUACUCAUCCCUCGUACAAUUUUCGUGAAGAUAUUACUGCACACUUGUCAAAUUUUGUUUCCAAACGUUUGAGAUCCAUUGCUCUACCUAAUUAGGUCUAUUAUUUUUAUUUUCCUUUCUAAACUGUGUGACGUAAAUAUGCCGGGGACUAUGCGGCUUUCCAUUUGGUCUGGAAAGUCCGAAUCUCCCAUGAAAUUUUACAUCGUAUUCUUAUUCCACAAUAAGAAACGGAUUACCAUUCACAGUUUUCUCUAGCAUGGGGUUGGCAAUAGAUUCCUUUUGUUGCUUGUCGGACUUUAAUGUUUUCUUGGACGUGAUAUUAAACGGCCUAAAGAAAGGACACUAUCAUUUAAGAGAGAAAACGUAGGGACAGCGCACAUAUUACAUAAUGAAAAUUGGAAAAUUUAAAUUAAAUUUAAAUUAAAUUAAUUUAAAAACUCUUCCCCUAAAUUAUCAGUUAAUAAGCAGUAGCUAUAGGCCAUAACAACCACGACAAACGUUUGUGUUUUUCCCCCUCCACCUUCUUUGAUUAUGUAAUAUGUAAACGUCUCCAUGCACAACUGCCAAUGCAUAUAUAAUUAUUAUUUGGUCUAGUUACAACCAUUUUGAUUGGGAAGCAAAUGAAUGGUUGAUUUUUCUUCUGCUCGUAGUUGUUUCUGGGAAAACACAAGUUCAUUUUUGCUCUUUUCAUCACCAGAAGGGGGGGUACCAGGUAUUUUGGCGUGAUUGCGUGAUCGGCGUAUUUUCAAUGCUUGAGUUCGUGAAAAAAAAUUUUAUUAUACGUGAAUGCGUGAAUAGACAUUGCCGCGUGACCUGUGAAUCAGCAUUACACAUGCGUGAUUGCGUGAAAAUGAGUGUUGUACACUCUUUUUUUAUAAGAAGCAGUAAACUUAAGUUCAGGCUGACUGUUCUUAAUUUUUUCGAAAAUCUGAGGCUUAAUUGUUCUUGAUUUGUUCUAAAUCGAUUAGGGUGUAAGCAUUGCGAGUGCUAGCUUUUUCGCUCUAGGGUGGUGUGCAAGGCCUCAUUUGCCAACAAAGUGAGUGAGAAAGCCUUGAUUUGCUGACAAAUGUGAAACUUUGGAGUAGCCAUCAUUGUUGUACUUUUUUUGCAUAAACUUAUAAAGGGAAAUCACAACAAGGCUUCUUAUUAGCGCCCCCUUUUUUAAAAAUAGUUCGAUUGUUCUUAACAUUCUGAACAAUAUGAACCAGAACAUUUCUGUACCCAGACCGGUUCACAUGCUAAAUUUCACCAUUCUUUUCGGUUCCCUUUUUUUUAAAGGCUUGGGUACAUUUUUGUAUAAACAAAAUUGUCACCCGUUUGUGUACCCGGACCGUUAUGCAUGCUAAAUUCCACCAUUUGUUUGAGUACCCUAUUGUUUAGGUGCUUGGGUACGUUUUUGCAUAACCAAAAUUGUCAUACUUUUGUGUACCCGGACCGAAACGCAUAAGGUUACCGAAACGCAUGCGACACCGGUACCCAGUGCUUCCACAAAUGACAAUGCGGGUUUCCUUAAACGAGGCUGAAAUUUCCUUAGAUUUCCUCAGACGUCAUUUGAAAUUUCCUUGGAUAUUUUCUUGAAAGUUCGAAACUUAAUUUAGAGUGAACAUAAAAAUUUUCGUUAAAUUGAAGCUUAUCGUUCAUGUCUAAAAGUAUGCUGUGAAUCUGAUAUCUUUCGUUAUCAAAAUAUGUACCAAGAAUUGCUAGCUGACUUUGUGUAGAUCGAUCUUUUUUCUCGUCAAUGAUCAAGGAGAUCGUGUUACCUUGUAGCUUUGGGGAACCUUCUCUUAAAAAAUUGAACUUGACGUAUAAGGUUAGUUGUCUUCUGUUUUCCAAGUGAGCAUCUGCUUAAUGUCUUAUCCUUGGGAUAUAUUGAUAGGCAAAUUUUUUUCUGCAAUGAAACUAGCAUUUUUAAGUUCCAUCCUUGUAGCUUCCUUGUCACUUUGGCCAGGCAUGGAAUCAAUUUUCUUGUUUGUUGUUUCCAGUGUUGCUGACCUUGCCAUAACUUCUUUAUGGGCAGAGUCUUGAUAUAUGGCUAGAGCUGCUUUAGAGCAGCAUACGUUCAUCUUACCCACUUGGCACCAAGGUUGAAAUUUGCCAGUGUCAUUAGUUAUCUUCUUCAACCAUUGCUUAAAUGUAGGGAUUGUUAAGUCAUGAAUCAUGAAACUUUUGUUCAUAUUAUUUUUUGGAAGGCUUUACCUUCGCUUCAACAUAAUUACGUUUCAUUUCUACUCGCUUAACUCCACCAUUUCUUAACCAAAGUCUUAAUCAAAAUAGUUAACAGUAGCUGACCUACACCAACAACACAGCAGUCCAAAGGGAUUAUCUGAGAAAAUUUUCUUUAAAACACCCAUGUGCAUAAGGAAUUUCACAUAUCAAAUCGAUUUAACAAAGCUGUUCUGACGAUCCAACAGCGAGGAAUCAAAAAAAAUUAUAAUAAAAAAUGAAAUUUAAAAUUUCCUUAAAAUUUCCUCAAAAUAUCAAUUUCCUUAAAUAUUUCCUUAAACGGACCAAAUUUCCUUAAUCUGAGGAAAUUUCCUUAAAAGUGGAAGCACUGCCGGUACCAGACCUGGUAAAAUGUCCCCCUUAUUCAGAGAUUCCAAUGCCGAUGGCUUUGCCAACAAGAAGUUACUAGUAUUAGAUAGUUAUAUAAAAAUCAGAGAGCUUCUAGAGGGCGUGAUGGUGAAAUUAAACUUCCAGUACCAUGAAAGCGCGAUUUGCAAUUAUUUUACGCGUGAUUCCGUGAUUCAGCGUAGAUACCUGGUAGCUACCCCCCAGAAGAUAAUACUUACUUUUCUAGUGUAAUAUAUAAAUGAUUCUUUCUCAGCUCAUAUGCACGCAGUCAAAAAGUCUGAAUAUAUGUGAAUAUAAGUGGCACUCGAGGUAAAUUGCAUUAGUCGUAAGUCAAGUAAAAGUAUAUGGUUAGUCAUUAGUCUUGGGUUUUACACAAAAUUAGUCAUUAGUCAGUUGGUAAAACAGUCUGUUAGUCACCUAGUCAAAACACUUCUACACCCUCUAAUAUGACCUCUACUUGUCUUUUGACGUCAGACAUUUUGCGGAUUCAAGUUUGUCAUAGUAUAUUCGAAGGCAAAUUAGCUACAGGGGAAAUCCUCUGUUUAUAUAAAGAGGAGGAAAACUGCCUAUUGUUUAACACAAUGCAAAGUCACACUGGGGUUGGAGGGGCAAUUGCCCACCUAACCAGUAUGUUGAAAAUGGCCCUGAAGUUUAUAGCAGUUAUCCAAGUUCAACAGCUAAAGACGUCUAAAAAUCGGUUGAAACGUCAUGAGCUGCACUAUCCUUCUCAAGGGCUUCCGUACAAGGUCCAAUCAGGGACCGCGGAAAUGGGGGAACCCCCCCCCCUCCCCAUAAUUUCCACAGUGUACUUAAAACCAAACAAAAAUCGCCCUGCUCUUGGAUUUUAGCAUGUUUAGCCCUCAAAAACGUUCUAGCCCCCUCAAUCUCUAAUAUACUCCACGGUCCUUGCAUCACAACGAUUUAUUCCAACUCCAGAAUGAAUUGCAUGAUGAAGCUAGUUAGAACAGAACCCCUCUUAACCCCUUCAAUUAAUACCUUUUUCCGUUUAAUGUUUGUGAAAUCGUCAGAUUCAACAAUCAGAUUCAAAUAUCUUGGAAAACCGUCAGAAACGGAAUACAAUUUGAUUGCUGCCGUUCGUAGAACAGAAAUAAUAUGCACACAUACUUCUGGAGCUGAGACGGUCUGAAACGGAAUAAAAUUCUGUAUGCCAUUGUAGUCUGUUCCGCGUUGUAACCACUGAUUCAAAAAAGGAUUAGAUAGCUGAAAACCGCAAAUAUACGUGAUUCAUUAAUGACGUUAACAACGCACGCAAUACAUGUUCAGUUACCCGAUUACAAUAACAAGGAAGUUAGUGAUUUGGUUCCGGAACAAACCAAUAAAAACCGGCGUUUUGCUCUUCUACCUCAAUUGCCAAUCUUGAUCACUUUAGCUGCCAGUGACCUGAGGUUGAAUCAGAAAAAAAUUAUGAAGAUCUCAAUACUCUUCGCGGUUUUACUUGCUAUUGCCCUCUUGGUAGAGGAAGGACAAUGCUGGGGACGCAGAAGAAGAAGGAGGAGGAGAAGGUCUGGUGGCCCAUGGAGUAUUAGUAAUGGUGGUGUUACGUACAAGUUCAGAAAUGGAGCCUCAGUCACUGGACAUGGCAGCUUUAAAAAUGGCGGUUCAGUAGGUGUCAAGGUCACUAUACCCUUUGGCAGAAAAAGACGAUCUGUUGCCGAUGACACCGACGUGGAUGUGAAGAAACUUAUUCCAGCCGAAGAAGUAACAGCAAUUCCACCAGUUUUUGAUGUCGAUGAUAAAAAGAAAGCAAAGCUUGAAGAAAAGCAACCCGAGAUCGAAAAAAGUGACGAAAGCCUGGUCGCACUUCGCCAGAGUCAAGAUAGAGAAGACAACUGCGACGAAUGUCUAGAUAUUCAACCUUUCAAAAUAAACGACCGAGCUGUUGAAAAUAAGACCAUAAAGAACAACGAUUUUGUCAUGGUUGUCAAGUACAUCGAAGAAAAUAUUUCAGCAUUGAAACUACAAGCCAAAAUCAAAUUUGAGGUAUUUGAUGUCGUGAAAAGUCCUGUUGAUAGUGUCAAAGAAGGAGAAACCUUCACAAUCAAUGCAGAAAUGGCCAAGUGUCCAUGCUUGUCGAUUCUCGACCCAGGCUACUACAUUGUAACGGGAUCUGUCAAUGCUGAAGGCAAACUGGUUUUGUCAAAUGUUCUCAUGGAAUUUGAACGUUAAAUUAAUAUGUAUUUAAUAUUUAUAUGUACAGCUAUUAUUUACAAAACUUUCUUUUAUUGAAAA
Non-coding RNA from Rhopilema esculentum, 6164 nucleotides. Lineage: Eukaryota; Metazoa; Cnidaria; Scyphozoa; Rhizostomeae; Rhizostomatidae. The record is from RefSeq and is a predicted model, not a curated record.